This 2720-nucleotide long non-coding RNA is filed under the name Homo sapiens (human). RNAcentral's name for it is "HSALNT0409567". Lineage: Eukaryota; Metazoa; Chordata; Mammalia; Primates; Hominidae. The record is from RNAcentral.
UCCAUGCCCAAAAGAGGCUGUGUGCAAGAAUGGAAUCCCUUGGGGAUUGGGACAUACUCUGUUGUGUCAUUAAGGGUUCUUUAGGUGAUAGAAUCAUACCUGAGAUCCUAGAGGUGGGUGUCAGUGAAAGACGGCCAGGCUCAUGACCUCACUUUCUCCCUUCAUCCUGGGACUUGCAGGGCUAUCUGGGAAAGGCAGAAACCAUGACAAAGGCAAGUCCACGGUGAAGCAGUUUUCUCACACCUCGGAUUAGCCUCUCACAGGUGCAGUUGAGGUUGAGACAGUGUCUCAGAGGCCGCCUGUUGUGAUGGGGAUGUCCAGUAGUGCUGUUGGGGGGCACAGUGGAUUCCUCAUGAAGGCAAAGAAAAAUCAAAGCUCGCCUGAGAGAACAAGACACCUUGUAUUUGAGUCUAAGCAAUGUACAAAGAUUCCUGUCAGAGGACCGUAAAGCUUCCUGCAAAGUGCAAACAACUUCAACUCCCAUAACGAGAGAACGACACCCAACCUGGAGCACAGCCAGCUUACCCAACGUCUCUUUUGCUCUCUGAAAUCUGUGGCAGCUACAUAAUCUGUAGCAAGAAACAGUCCCAUCCUGCAAUAUCUCAAUGAAAGAGCCCCUUCACAAUGAGAAACCUGUGCAGAUGAAAUGAAAGAGAGACUAGAUUACCAGGAAAAAGCCAAACACAGCUGCCUGCUUCUCAUAAUAAAGUAAUCAUCCAGCCCUCCGAAAGAAGCAGGAGAACAAGACUUUCCUUGUUGGCAGCUGAAAUGGGACUUUACAGUAUUAAAAUUAUCAAAGCUGCCCAGUCAUUAAAAUGCGACAGUGUUUAGAAGGAAGCACUUUUGCAAUGGAUUCCUAUGAGGGUCAUUCUCUGUGAAUUGGGAAGAGUUUAGUGUGCAAGUCCUUGAGCCAGACACAGGAAACCCUAGGCUGACUGGGAAAAUGGAAGUCAGGAAAAGAAGAGAAUGAAAUCCCAAGACAAUGGAGGAGUGCCCCUUCAUGUUGUGAAACACCUGCUCAGCUGGGAACUGAAUUCGAGCUGAGAAGUUUGGGCUUAUAGAUGAUCAGUUUGCAGAGGCUUACCCUCAGCAUAUCAAGAUUGAGUCUUUGGAAAUAAAGCCAAGUGAAUAUAAAAGAGAAGUAGAAGAGCAAAUUGGGCAGAAACAUGUCAAAAGCAAAAAACAAACAACAACAAGAAAACCCAGGAUAACAGGCAGCAUUUCAGUUGGAAUUUCCAAAAUGAUGGCACUGAACAAUCUGAAGUCUGCUUUUAUUUAGUGCCCCUGGCCAGUCAGAAAAGAAUGCACAGCUGCCUCACCAUGACCACCUGGGUCCUGCAGUUCUGCCAGCAGCCAGUACGGGACACAUGAGCCUGCCUUUUCUGACCCUUGGAGGACCCGCGUGUUCAGCACAUGCCACCUGAGGAUGAGAGCUCCAUUCUCCUCAGCACAGACUCCAGCCACACUGCCUCACUCCAGUUGGAGGCAGAGAUAAGUAAAAACCUUCCUCUAACUGCUGAGGAUCAGGGACCCACUAGAAGGGUUUUGUGUGGAAAAUUAGAAACAAAAAAAUAUUCCUAUGGCUCUAGUGCACCCCAAGGACUUUCCCCACACCCAAGUGUGGUGACCACAAUGCCAGGUGCACGCCAUGACCUCGUGACACAAAUAUAGCAUUUGUCACACAAUUAUAACACCUACAAUGGAGAUACAUCUGUAAACAAAUAUAUCACCCAUAAUACAGUUGUGACACUUGUAAUACUAAUGUAACAACUGUAAUAUUGAUCUGACACCUGUAAUACAACUGUAAGACUCAUAACAGCAAUAAAACACUCAGAAUACCAAUAUAGCAUCUGAAAUACAAAUAUAAUCACCCUAAUACUGAUCAAACACCCUUAAUAGAACUCUAACUCUCAUAACACCAAUGUCGAUUCACAAUACAAAUGAAACAUCCAUAACACUGAUGUAACAUCUAUAGUGCUCUCUUGACACCUGUAAUACAACUGUAACACUCACAAUACCAACAUACAACUCAUAAUACCAAUAUGGCAUCUGCAAUACAAAUAUAACAACUUUCAUACUGAUGUAACAACUUUCAUAUUGAUCUAACACAUAUAAUACUAAUAUAGCACUCCUAAUACCACUGUAACAUUUGUAAUACAAAUAGAACAACAAUAACACUGAUGUAACACCCGUAAAUACUGAUGUGACACCUGUCAUACAGAUGUAAGACCUGUAAUACUGACAUAACAUUCCUACACUUACAAAGGCAGUUGGUUUCACAGCUUCCACUGAGCUGGAUUUCGCUCCUAUAAUGAAGUUUGAUGUCGUUGUCUCUGCUUUAGUGACAUGGUAUUGACAUGGUUGUUUUCAUUGAAAAGGAGUUUACUUCCCAAUAGUUUUAUACCUCUAGGAAACUUGAAAUAGCAGUUAGUAUACUUUAUCCUUUCUCCCAGAUUCCCGACUGGUUGUUGCUGUGCCAUAUUUGCAGCUUCAUUCAAAAUAUCCCACUGUGUUUUACAAAAAGUAGAAACACUCUCCCAAAUUACCAUCAUGUAACUACCAAAUCAGGAAAUACAGGGUUAGUAUUGGUAAUUGUAAUGGCAAAAUAUUUAUUUACAAGCACAAAUUUAAUCCUGUCACUUUCCUGAUUUAAUUUUGCUAAUGGUUUUGAGAGGUGAAGCCACCUGAACUUCCUGGGUUGAGUGGGGACUCAGAGAAGU